AAACAAUGCAAUGUUAAUAAUAAUAUUUUAACAAUAAUCACAAAAUUUGUCGUUGUAUCAAACCAGAAAUUCUCACAAUUCAAGCGAAUGCAGGUUGAUUCAAGUGACAAAAACGUCAACAUUAAAUGCAGAGUUUGCAAAAAUGAAUUUCCAAACGAAGUGCAGUUCGAUGCACAUCUGAAGGAGAAUCCGAAGUGCGAAAAGUUGACUUGUGACGUGUGUCGGAAACAAUCUAAUUCGAUCUCCAAUUUGAAUAUUCACAAGUUAAUACAUUCGAAUGAAAAGAAAUUAAAAUGCGACGAAUCUAUUGUGGUUAUUCAACUAUAUGGAAAGACAAUUUAGACAAACAUAUUUUGCUAACACAUUCUAAAGAACCGAAUUUUACUGGAAACCUUCCACCGAGAUAUCAGAAUUUGGAAAAAUAUCGAUGCAAGCGUUGCUCCAAAAUUUGUUCAUCUCUAUCUGAAUUAAAACUUCACGA
RNAcentral lists this unclassified non-coding RNA (481 nucleotides) under Centruroides sculpturatus (bark scorpion). RNAcentral's name for it is "uncharacterized LOC111639744, transcript variant X3". The record is from RNAcentral. Lineage: Eukaryota; Metazoa; Arthropoda; Arachnida; Scorpiones; Buthidae.